This is a non-coding RNA of Xyrichtys novacula (pearly razorfish), 721 nucleotides long. NCBI's taxonomy places the organism in Eukaryota, Metazoa, Chordata, Actinopteri, Labriformes, Labridae. The record is from the annotation of a GenBank genome assembly.
UUUAGCUCAAUAAUAAAUUUAAUUCGAUUCUUAUGGAAUGAACGGAGCAAAAAAAAAAAGGAUCCGGCGACUAAAUCCGACUACCUGAAGUAUUUCGGCGCCGGAAGUCCGCCAACGAGAAAGCCUUUCCACCGGAAGUAAUUGUUUUGGGUCCGCCAAUCGGAGGUAAUGCGGAAACUUAUUGCGUUUUGUAAAUGUGGUUUUCUAUCUUUGGGUCCGCCAUCUUGCGCUGCAUCUGGUCACCUCUCGACAAACUUGCUCGCCUCAAACAGGAGCUACGGUGAGCCCUAAAGGACAAAUGAAUAUCAAACAGAUGUGACUGUCUGCUGAGGUAUUCAAACUUUAGGAUGUGUGUGUUUUUUCUUUUUCAGUGAAAUGAAACGCAGUAAAUCCACAGACGUCUGACCUCAGAUCUGCUGAUGAGUCCCUGCUGAGUGAAGAUUAAGAUGGUCUUUAUUAUUUAUAUUUCAUGUUUGUGAUCAUGAGUCUCACAGUAGUCAUAAAGUGUAUGUAAUAAUACAUUUUUGCCAUUUUUAAUGAUGUUUUUAAGUUAUUUGUGCUGCUGCAGGUUUUCACUGACUGAUCUCAUUCAAGAAAAUGUUAUUACUCAGCCAUGAUGAGAUCAUUAUGAUAACAUGAGUGCUGCGUCCGAACUGCCCGCUCGGAUACUACAUGCUACUGCUACGUGCUACUGCUAGAUCCUACUCCUACAUACUAAAAA